Paramormyrops kingsleyae is the source of this 1900-nucleotide long non-coding RNA. RefSeq lists it as uncharacterized. The record is from RefSeq and is a predicted model, not a curated record. Lineage: Eukaryota; Metazoa; Chordata; Actinopteri; Osteoglossiformes; Mormyridae.
UAGUUGUAGUUUUUGGUAUCGCCCAACAGGAUUUGUAUUGGUGAAUUUGCUUCUGUAGUUUUGAAAUGACUUUCAAUGUGAAAAGAAAUCGUAAUAAAUACAAUCCGGUGUUUGAAUGACAGCAAGCUGCCUAGCUCCCACUUCCAGUUAUGCCCAGAAAACAGGAUGAUAAACUACAGAUGCAGUUGGUAGCGUCCAGGGUCUCUCAAUGGAGCAAUUCUGUGAGUAGGAGGAAGAACCCAGUCUUAGAACAUUGCCAUGUUCCAGCUUUGUUCUCGCCAGGAACAAAACGGCGUGUCUCGGACACUGGUGCACAUGAGGACACUUCCAGGACCAAGGUGCCCUGAUAAACCUUGUUAUGAAUUCCUAGAUUUCCAUCACCUGUGUCCUAAAAGCAGCUGUAGCUUCUGUGAGUGCUAGCAUGCAGCAGAAGACCUGUUCACGCUCUGCUGAAGUCUGCAGGUGAGUACGAACUGGGCCAGUACAACCAUGCCUAUGGCUACGUGUGACAGUGCCAUCAAGUCCAAGUAGAUGGCUGUGGAUGGAAAUGACGAGGCGCGUGGCUGCUGUGACACAGAUUGCAGCACAAAGAAAGAAAGAGACCUGGAAGGUACUGGAAGGCCCCCAAAUGGCGUGAUGGGGUUUAUUGGCAAACAAAUCCUGUGCCUCAUCCAGAAGCGGAGCUGGAAAUUGAUGCUGUUUUGGGCCCCGUUUCUAUUGAGUCUUGGGUGGAUCCUCAAGCCUUAGUGCCUGAGAUGCAGGUGCCUCUUAAAGCAGAGGACCAGUCUUCAGGUGUGUUGUGCUGAAUGCCUGCACUAAGACAAUCCAUGGCAAGGGAGGGAAUCCUGUCCACAAAGGGCCGGUGUGUAUGCGGGUAUUCGCUGCAGCUUCCUAAUUAGAUUACUAAUUAGAGGACUGAUUGGCUGAAGAGUCCUCGCACCUGGGUUUGAACAGCUGACCUAAAAGUUAUCCCAAAAACUUUGGUUCUACUGUAGUUAUUGUUUGCUUGUAUUUUCUGCAAUAGUUGUGACUUGGUUCCAACUUUGACCUUUAAACACUCAGCUGUCUGCUAAUAUCAUUGGUGCCACAGUGUAAACAAAUGUUAGAAUUUGUGAUGCCUUUAAAAUUAGCAUUUUGAUCUCCAUUUUGCCCAAUUCUGCAGUUAAUCUAUUAAUCUCUAGUUAAAGUACAGUGUAGGUCCUCAGUUAUCAGUCUGAAGUGUUUCACAAUGCGGUGUUCUGCCACUAGGUGGUGCCCUUGGAUUUUAUGUAUCUGUGUCAACUUAAGUUUGUGAAACUUAAGCUGUAAUUAGACUGUCGCUUGCGCUAGAUAAUGCACCAGGACAGGCUUGUGAGCCCCCAUAAUAUGCCUGGUCGAGUUAACUAUAGUUUACCGCUACCAAAUGUCCACCCUGAAAUGUCCACCCUAAGAUGGGAUGUUUGAAGAUGCCACACCAGAUACAGGAUGUUUUAGUAUGUUUAUCCAGUGAUUCCAUUUACAUUACAAUCUAUAUUAUAAUGAUCUAUAUCAUUGAAUUAUCUACAGUAUACUGCAAUAAUAUCUGUAAGAAAUACGUAACAUAUAAUUGAUUUUCAGUUGUUCUAUUUUGAACUUGUAAAACUUUAUUCAGUAAUAUAAUGUGAAUGGCAGUUAAUGUUUCUUUUGUUUUUCCAAUUAACUUUAGCGAUCCAUACCUUCUAUUUCAAUGGAAUUCUGCCUAUACUGCGCAUAAUUUUCAAUCAAUAAGGUAAUGCCUAAAAAUACUUUUUGACUCAUAUGUGUAAAUCCAGAUUCAUCCAGAAUGCUACGGGGGUGACUGUAGAUCUUAAUUAUUUCAUAUUUCAUAUCCUUUACGACAACACCUGACUUGCUGAAUAAAGCACAGAUGUUUGCGUGAGAA